This 1704-nucleotide ribosomal RNA is filed under the name Chitala chitala (clown knifefish). Its description in RNAcentral is "16S ribosomal RNA". The stretch from base 82 to 1608 matches the Rfam family "Bacterial large subunit ribosomal RNA". The record is from RNAcentral. Lineage: Eukaryota; Metazoa; Chordata; Actinopteri; Osteoglossiformes; Notopteridae.
GCCAGAGAGCUAGCCGUCACACCACCCGCAAAUACAAGACAAUAACUCAAAAUAUUAUAUAAACCAACCAUUAAAACAUUUUUCCGCCCUAGUAUAUGAGAUAGAAAAGGAUGAUAGCGCCAUAGAAAAAGUACCGCAAGGGAAAGCUGAAAAAGGAAGUGAAACAAACCGCCAAAGCACAAAAAAGCAGAGAUUAACUCUCGUACCUUUUGCAUCAUGAUUUAGCCAGAACCGCCAGGCGAAGAGACCCUUAAGUCUGAGCCCCCGAAACUAAACGAGCUACUUCGAGACAGCAUAUUUAGAGCCAACCCGUCUCUGUGGCAAAAGAGUGGGAAGAUCUCCAAGUAGAGGUGACAAACCUAACGAGUUUAGUGAUAGCUGGUUGCUUAAGAAAUGAAUACUAGUUCAGCCUCGUGAGACACUUACCUCAAACCAUAAAACCCGUAAGAACCUAAGACGCUCACAAGAGUUAGCCAAAGGGGGUACAGCCCCUUUAAAAAAGAACACAACCUUAACAGUUGGGCAAGGAUCAUAAUUUAUAAAGCACUUGACCACGGUGGGCCUAAGAGCAGCCAUCCGAAAAGAAAGCGUUGAAGCUCAAGCAAACAACAAGCUUAUUAUCCCGAUAAAUAUAUCCAACCCCACUAUCAAUAUUAAGCCCCCCUAUGACUACAUAGGAGAGAUAAUGCUAAAAUCAGUAACAAGAAAGCACGACUUUCUCCCGGCACAUGUGUUAGUCAGAUCGGACCACCCACUGACAUAUAAAGAACUCAAUAAAAGAGAGUAUUGUACCCUAUAAAAUAACCAAGAAAACUACACAAAUAACAUCGUUAACCCAACACAGGAGUGCCACAACAGGGAUAGACAAAAUGAAGAAAGAAGGAACUCGGCAAUCCACGGCCCCGCCUGUUUACCAAAAACAUGGCCUCUCGCAAUAACACAGAUGAGAGGUCCAACCUGCCCAGUGACCAAGAGUUAAACGGCCGCGGUAUCUUAACCGUGCUAAGGUAGCGUAAUCACUUGUCUUUUAAAUGAAGACCUGUAUGAAAGGCAUUACGAGGGCCCAACUGUCUCCUACUUCAUGUCAGUGAAAUUGAUCUGUCCGUGCAGAAGCGGACAUACCCACAUAAGACGAGAAGACCCUGUGGAGCUUAAGAUAUCAAAUUAACCGCGCCUAGAAACUAACAAGCCCACGGGCCCCAAACACCAAACAAGCAUAGCGGCCAUAAUUAAACUUAUCUUCGGUUGGGGCGACCAUGGAGGAUAAAAAAGCCUCCAAGAAGAAGCAGGGGGUCAGUCACACUACCCCUAAGAGCCAAGAGCCACACCUCUAGGCAACAGAAAAUUCUGACUAAUAAUGACCCAGGCCCAGCCUGAUUAACGAACCAAGUUACCCCAGGGAUAACAGCGCAAUCCUUUCCAAGAGCCCAUAUCGCCGAAAGGGUUUACGACCUCGAUGUUGGAUCAGGACAUCCUGGUGGCGAAAAUUUUACCAAGGGUUCGUUUGUUCAACGAUUAAAGUCCUACGUGAUCUGAGUUCAGACCGGAGUAAUCCAGGUCGGUUUCUAUCUAUGAACUUUCCCUUCCUAGUACGAAAGGGCCGGAAGGCGAGGGGCCAAUACCAAAAGCAAGCCCCACUCCUACAUAAUGAACACAACUAAAACAAAAAAGGAGGAUACAAACCAAGCCCAAGAUAAGGGCUAA